UGGGGAAUAUUGCACAAUGGGGGGAAACCCUGAUGCAGCAACGCCGCGUGAAGGAAGACGGUCUUCGGAUUGUAAACUUUUGUUCUUGGUGAAGAAGAAUGACGGUAGCCAAGGAGGAAGCCACGGCUAACUACGUGCCAGCAGCCGCGGUAAUACGUAGGUGGCAAGCGUUGUCCGGAAUUACUGGGUGUAAAGGGAGUGUAGGCGGGACUGUAAGUCAGAUGUGAAAUAUGCCGGCUCAACUGGCAGACUGCAUUUGAAACUGUGGUUCUUGAGUGAAGUAGAGGUAAGCGGAAUUCCUGGUGUAGCGGUGAAAUGCGUAGAUAUCAGGAGGAACAUCAGUGGCGAAGGCGGCUUACUGGGCUUUAACUGACGCUGAGGCUCGAAAGCGUGGGGAGCAAACAGGAUUAGAUACCCUGGUAGU
This 424-nucleotide ribosomal RNA is filed under the name uncultured Ruminococcus sp. Its description in RNAcentral is "bacterial SSU rRNA". It matches the Rfam family "Bacterial small subunit ribosomal RNA", at positions 355 to 794 of the family's 1533-position model. Lineage: Bacteria; Bacillati; Bacillota; Clostridia; Eubacteriales; Oscillospiraceae. The record is from RNAcentral.